AAAGGGCGAAAACUAAUCCCAACGAAUUGAAAGACGAAGCAAGAGAAAGCGAGCACGUCGAAUGCAAAAAAAAGGUUCAACUGUUGACAACCAGAAACCCGUCAUUACAGAUUCCGAAAGAAUUCCUCAAAACUUCAGAUUGUGGCGGAGCCUUCAACACCCCUGAAUGACGAAGAUGUGGAACCAAAGCAGCCGAGGCAAAGUGACGAUGUCAUGAAUGCCAGAGUUGUGGGGAUGCUUGUAAACGAUAGCAUCAGCUUGCUGAGGAGGAAGAGGCAAUACCUACUGAGGCAGGACCUUCCGACGCAGCAUAAAAUGACACAGAAGGUACAUCGGAAGAAUUGCCUGUAACUGCACCUAUAACGGCAACGCAUCUAUGGACGCCGAUGAAAUAAAUUUAAGAGUAGAAUUGUCCGAAGAAGAGGAAACUAAUAAUAAUUAAUAAUAUAAGAAUAUACAUGGCUAGCUACGAUUAAGUUCAGCCUAAAAUAACAUGCAAAUUCAGUCUUUCUUUUGUACGUGGUUCGGGGAUGUCCCCGGCUUUUUUUAGCCAAGAGAAAAAAAUUGUAACACGAGUUUUUGAGAAAAAAUAUCGUUUCAUUUUUUAUAGUUAAAAAUCUCAUUUUUCUG
This is a long non-coding RNA of Belonocnema kinseyi, 630 nucleotides long. RefSeq lists it as uncharacterized. The record is from RefSeq and is a predicted model, not a curated record. NCBI's taxonomy places the organism in Eukaryota, Metazoa, Arthropoda, Insecta, Hymenoptera, Cynipidae. The transcript has 3 exons.